UACGAAGGGGGCUAGCGUUGCUCGGAAUCACUGGGCGUAAAGGGCGCGUAGGCGGCCAUUCAAGUCGGGGGUGAAAGCCCAGGGCUCAACCCUGGAAUUGCCUUCGAUACUGUUUGGCUAGAGACCGGAAGAGGUAAGUGGAACUGCGAGUGUAGAGGUGAAAUUCGUAGAUAUCAGGAGGAACACCGGUGGCGAAAGCGGCUACCUGGCCCGAUACUGACGCUCAUGGACGAAAGCGUGGGGAGCAAACAGG
Molecule: ribosomal RNA, 253 nt
Filed under: uncultured bacterium
Lineage: Bacteria
Description: partial 16S ribosomal RNA
Rfam family: Bacterial small subunit ribosomal RNA
Source: RNAcentral